AGGGGCACCACUCGCCAAUAAAAGGCAAUCCAAUUCGAGCUUCUGUGCCCUAGAAUUCUCAAAAUCAUCGGGUUCUUGAUUCUCCAUUAGCAGUCUCAAGCUUCGCAGCUAAACAGAGAACCCAACCCGAAAGUAAGAAACAGCUCCAAAACUUUUGCCUAAGAAUUAAUCAAUCAUUCAAUUUUCAAGAUGACCGAUUACGAAGGAGGAAGAUAUGAUGGCAAUGGUGCCGACUUCGACAACGAUAACUACGGUUCUGGCGGUGGUGGCUUCUCUCCUCAGCCUCGCGCUAGCAGUCACAGCCAUGGCGGAGCCGACGAUCACAGCGAUUCCAAAUCUCAGCAUGGUUCUCGAGACUAUGAAAGAGAGUCUUCAAAAAGUAGGGAAAAGGAGAGAGAGAAAGGACGCGAUAAGGAGAGGGAUAGAGACAGGGACAGGGAUAGGGAUAGGGAUCGCGAGAGGGACAAAGAUAGGGAGAGAAGCAAGGACAGGGACAGGGAUAGGGAAAGAGACCGAGACAAGGAUCGUGACCGUCACCAUAGAGAUCGUGAUCGCUACAGAGAUCGUAGUGAGAGGAGGGAACGGGGUAGAGAUAGAGAUGAUGAUGAUUAUCACCGAAGCCGAGACUAUGACCGGGACAGGCGGAGAGAUUAUGAUAGGAACAAGGAAGAUAGGCACAGGCGUCGGUCAAAAUCUCCUUCAAGAGGUAGAUCCGAACACAGGUCCAAAUCGCGAUCUCGUUCUCGUUCCCGUUCUAAGAGCAAAAGGAUCAGUGGUUUUGAUAUGGCUCCUCCACCAUCUGCAAUGUUGGCUGGUGCAGCUGCAGCUGCUGCUGCUGCAGGUCAGAUGCCUGGCACAAAUCCUGCCAUUUCUGGAAUAUUCCCUAACAUGUUUCCUUUAGGGGCUGGUCAGCAGUUUGGUGCUCUUCCGGUUAUGCCAGUUCAGGCAAUGACACAGCAGGCCACUAGGCAUGCUCGACGGGUAUAUGUUGGAGGACUUCCCCCUACAGCUAAUGAACAGUCUGUAGCAACUUUUUUCAGCCAAGUUAUGGCUGCAAUUGGAGGAAACACUGCUGGCCCAGGGGAUGCUGUUGUGAAUGUCUAUAUAAACCAUGAAAAGAAAUUUGCGUUUGUGGAGAUGAGGUCUGUUGAGGAGGCUAGUAAUGCAAUGGCUUUGGAUGGAAUUAUUUUUGAGGGAGCACCUGUCAAGGUGAGGAGACCUAGCGACUAUAACCCAUCUCUUGCUGCAACACUUGGUCCAAGCCAGCCCAAUCCCAAUCUUAACCUUGCAGCAGUUGGCUUAACUCCAGGAUCUGCUGGUGGGCUUGAGGGUCCUGACCGCAUCUUUGUGGGUGGGCUUCCCUAUUACUUCACAGAAGCACAAAUCAGAGAGUUGUUGGAAUCUUUUGGGCCUCUUCGAGGUUUUGAUCUGGUCAAAGACAGAGAAACUGGCAACUCAAAGGGCUAUGCAUUUUGUGUUUAUCAGGAUCUUUCAGUUACAGACAUAGCUUGUGCUGCUCUGAAUGGAAUUAAAAUGGGUGACAAAACUCUCACUGUUAGGCGUGCCAACCAGGGUACUAACCAGCCCAAGCCUGAGCAAGAGAAUGUUCUAUUGCAUGCGCAGCAGCAGAUUGCAUUGCAGAGGCUUAUGUUACAACCUGUUCCUACUAAAGUUGUAUGCCUAACUCAAGUAGUUACUGCGGAUGAACUCAAAGAUGAUGAGGAGUAUGAAGACAUCUUGGAAGACAUGAGGAUGGAAGGAGGGAAAUUUGCCUUUUGUAGUCCCACAUUCUGCUAUAAAGAAUCAGGCCUAACAUACACAGACAGAAGACUUCAUUAUCCCCUAUUUAUAUUUACUUGAUCUCCUCUUUAAAAAUUUAUUAAUUUGGAAAAUUGCGAUUUGCAUAUUUUCACGCCUUAAAUGCAGGUACGUUGGUGAAUGUUGUUAUUCCACGCCCAAAGCCAGAUUGUGAAGCUUCAUCAGGAGUUGGGAAGGUGUUCUUGGACUAUGCUGAUGUUGAAGGAGCUACAAAAGCCCGAGCAGGAAUGAAUGGGCGGAAGUUUGGUGGGAAUCAAGUUGUGGCUGUGUUUUAUCCUGAGAACAAGUUCUACCAGGCAGAAUACGAUGCCUAGAUAGUGUCUUCUGGCAAUAUAUAAAAUUUGAUGACGUACUAUUGAUGUUAUUGAUGAUAAAGCUUGAACAGUUCCCUGA
Hevea brasiliensis (rubber tree) is the source of this 2211-nucleotide RNA transcript. It is a transcript of the gene named splicing factor U2af large subunit B, with no coding region annotated. Lineage: Eukaryota; Viridiplantae; Streptophyta; Magnoliopsida; Malpighiales; Euphorbiaceae. The record is from RefSeq and is a predicted model, not a curated record. The transcript is spliced from 13 exons.